RNAcentral lists this ribosomal RNA (497 nucleotides) under uncultured bacterium. RNAcentral's name for it is "partial 16S ribosomal RNA". It matches the Rfam family "Bacterial small subunit ribosomal RNA", at positions 28 to 507 of the family's 1533-position model. The record is from RNAcentral.
GAUGAACGCUGGCGGCGUGCCUAAUACAUGCAAGUCGAGCGAACGGACGAGAAGCUUGCUUCUCUGAUGUUAGCGGCGGACGGGUGAGUAACACGUGGAUAACCUACCUAUAAGACUGGGAUAACUUCGGGAAACCGUAGCUAAUACCGGAUAAUAUUUUGAACCGCAUGUUUCAAAAGUGAAAGACGGUCUUGCUGUCACUUAUAGAUGGAUCCGCGCUGCAUUAGCUAGUUGGUAAGGUAACGGCUUACCAAGGCAACGAUGCAUAGCCGACCUGAGAGGGUGAUCGGCCACACUGGAACUGAGACACGGUCCAGACUCCUACGGGAGGCAGCAGUAGGGAAUCUUCCGCAAUGGGCGAAAGCCUGACGGAGCAACGCCGCGUGAGUGAUGAAGGUCUUCGGAUCGUAAAACUCUGUUAUUAGGGAAGAACAUAUGUGUAAGUAACUGUGCACAUCUUGACGGUACCUAAUCAGAAAGCCACGGCUAACUACGUG